AUUGAACGCUGGCGGCAGGCCUAACCCAUGCAAGUCGAGCGGAGCGGCGGACGGGUGAGUAAUGCCUAGGAAUCUGCCUGGUAGUGGGGGAUAACGUCCGGAAACGGGCGCUAAUACCGCAUACUAUCAGAUGAGCCUAGGUCGGAUUAGCGAGGUGGUGGGGUAAAGGCCUACCUAGGCGACGAUCCCUAGCUGGUCUGAGAGGAUGACCAGCCAAAUUGGAACUGAGACACGGUCCAAACUCAUACGGGAGGAAGCAGUGAGGAAGAUUGGUCAAUGGGCGCUAGCCUGAACCAGCCAAGUAGCGUGAAGGAUGAAGGUCUAUGGGUCGUAAACUUCUUUAUAUAAGAAUAAUGUAUUAUAUGAAUAAGGAUCGGCUAACUCCGUGCCAGCAGCCGCGGUAAUUC
Molecule: ribosomal RNA, 407 nt
Filed under: uncultured bacterium
Lineage: Bacteria
Description: partial 16S ribosomal RNA
Rfam family: Bacterial small subunit ribosomal RNA
Source: RNAcentral